GACGAACGCUGGCGGCGUGCUUAACACAUGCAAGUCGAACGGAAAGGCCUCUUUCGGGGGGUACUCGAGUGGCGAACGGGUGAGUAACACGUGAGUAACCUGCCCUUGACUUUGGGAUAACUUCAGGAAACUGGGGCUAAUACCGGAUAGGAGCUCCUGCUGCAUGGUGGGGGUUGGAAAGUUUCGGCGGUUGGGGAUGGACUCGCGGCUUAUCAGCUUGUUGGUGGGGUAGUGGCUUACCAAGGCUUUGACGGGUAGCCGGCCUGAGAGGGUGACCGGCCACAUUGGGAUUGAGAUACGGCCCAGACUCCUACGGGAGGCAGCAGUGGGGAAUAUUGCACAAUGGGUGGAAGCCUGAUGCAGCAACGCCGUGUGCGGGAUGACGGCCUUCGGGUUGUAAACCGCUUUCGCUCAUGACGAAGCUUUGUGUGACGGUAGUGGGUAAAGAAGCACCGGCUAACUACGUG
RNAcentral lists this ribosomal RNA (467 nucleotides) under uncultured bacterium. Its description in RNAcentral is "partial 16S ribosomal RNA". It matches the Rfam family "Bacterial small subunit ribosomal RNA", at positions 28 to 507 of the family's 1533-position model. The record is from RNAcentral.